Peromyscus maniculatus bairdii (prairie deer mouse) is the source of this 957-nucleotide non-coding RNA. Lineage: Eukaryota; Metazoa; Chordata; Mammalia; Rodentia; Cricetidae. The record is from RefSeq and is a predicted model, not a curated record.
CAAAUUACACUACAGAGCCAUAGUAAUAAUAACAGAAUUGCAUUGUCAUGGAAACAGCAUCAUAGAGCCAUGGAAUAGAAUAGAGGAUCCAACUAUGAGGCCAGACAACUACAGCCCCCAAAUUUUUACAGGGAAGAUGAAUAUACACUGAGUGAAAGGCAAUGUCUUCAACAAAUGAUAUUUAGAAAAUUGAAUAUCUACAUAAAGAAGAACAAGACUAAGUUCUUACCUCUCACCCUUCACAAAAAUCAACUCUAAAUGGAUCGGAGGCUUCAACAUAAGCAAAGGAAACAGUCAAUCUGGCGAAGAAACAGCACCCAGAAUGGGAGAAUAUCCUUGCCAGAUAUGCAUCUCACAGAAGAUUAGCAUCUGAAGUAUAUAAGAAACUAAACAUCAAAGAAACAACCCUAAACAAGGAAAAUGAGCCAGUAUUACAAAAAGUUCUGACUUUCAAAAAUGCUCAAAGUGAGAGUGCACCACCAAUUUCAUUUUUUAAAAAGAAGAUACAUAGAUGCUUGAAGAAAGAAAGAAAAAAGGUAUUAUUAGAAAAAAGUCUUCAGGCUUCACCAGACUGCCAGAGUGAUCCUAGCACAAAGAUGGUAGAACUCUGGGUCAGGAAUCACAACAGAUUUACUGCCCAAAGGAAGAGUGCUCCUGUCUAUCAGAAAGUCAGAAGAUACUGAAUCAGAGGAAUACAUGGCAUGGGAUGGAAAAUAUAAAUGAAAUACGUUUGCUUACUUCAUCUUGUUUUAAAGGGCAUUCUAAGAUUCGAACAACAACAGCGUUCCUGCGCUCACAGAGCCAUCUACAAACCAGGAUAACUGAGUUUGUGAGACUCAGCACUGAAGCCAAAUUGAAUUGAUAAAUUCCUACCUGCAAAGACAAACUAAGAACUGCAGGCCCCUCUGUGCUCCACCACGACUGCCAUGCUUGACACAAUACCUGGGGCGGCGAAAG